Molecule: long non-coding RNA, 233 nt
Filed under: Lathyrus oleraceus (garden pea)
Lineage: Eukaryota; Viridiplantae; Streptophyta; Magnoliopsida; Fabales; Fabaceae
Description: Pisum sativum (pea) long non-coding RNA (PSAT_LNC016173)
Source: RNAcentral
UUCAUCACACCUUGGGGAACAUUCUGUUAUCGAGUGAUGCCCUUCGGUUUGAAGAACGUCGGAGCCACGUAUCAACGAGCUAUGACUACCUUGUUUCAUGAUAUGAUGCACAAUGAAGAACGUCGGAGCCACGUAUCAACGAGCUAUGACUACCUUGUUUCAUGAUAUGAUGCACAAGGAGAUAGAGGUCUAUGUUGAUGAUAUGAUUGCUAAGUCCCGAACGGAAGUUGAAC